GUCUAUGGCCAUACCACCCUGAACGCGCCUGAUCUCCUCUGAUCUCGGAAGCUAAGCAGGGUUGGACCUGGUUAGUACUUGGAUGGGAGAAAGUACCUUGCUUUAUGCU
RNAcentral lists this ribosomal RNA (109 nucleotides) under Castor canadensis (American beaver). The record is from RNAcentral. Lineage: Eukaryota; Metazoa; Chordata; Mammalia; Rodentia; Castoridae.